This 372-nucleotide ribosomal RNA is filed under the name uncultured organism. RNAcentral describes it as "partial 16S ribosomal RNA". It matches the Rfam family "Bacterial small subunit ribosomal RNA", at positions 527 to 896 of the family's 1533-position model. The record is from RNAcentral.
GUAGGCGGCAAGCGUUGUCCGGAAUUAUUGGGCGUAAAGCGCGCGCAGGCGGUUCUUUAAGUCUGAUGUGAAAGCCCACGGGCUCAACCGUGGAGGGUCAUUGGAAACUGGAGAACUUGAGUACAGAAGAGGAAAGCGGAAUUCCACGUGUAGCGGUGAAAUGCGUAGAGAUGUGGAGGAACACCAGUGGCGAAGGCGGCUUUCUGGUCUGUAACUGACGCUGAGGCGCGAAAGCGUGGGGAGCAAACAGGAUUAGAUACCCUGGUAGUCCACGCCGUAAACGAUGAGUGCUAAGUGUUAGGGGGUUUCCGCCCCUUAGUGCUGCAGCUAACGCAUUAAGCACUCCGCCUGGGGAGUACGGCCGCAAGGCUG